RNAcentral lists this ribosomal RNA (497 nucleotides) under uncultured bacterium. RNAcentral's name for it is "partial 16S ribosomal RNA". It matches the Rfam family "Bacterial small subunit ribosomal RNA", at positions 28 to 507 of the family's 1533-position model. The record is from RNAcentral.
GAUGAACGCUGGCGGCGUGCCUAAUACAUGCAAGUCGAGCGAACGGACGAGAAGCUUGCUUUUCUGAUGUUAGCGGCGGACGGGUGAGUAACACGUGGAUAACCUACCUAUAAGACUGGGAUAACUUCGGGAAACCGGAGCUAAUACCGGAUAAUAUUUUGAACCGCAUGGUUCAAAAGUGAAAAACGGUCUUGCUGUCACUUAUAGAUGGAUCCGCGCUGCAUUAGCUAGUUGGUAAGGUAACGGCUUACCAAGGCAACGAUGCAUAGCCGACCUGAGAGGGUGAUCGGCCACACUGGAACUGAGACACGGUCCAGACUCCUACGGGAAGCAGCAGUAGGGAAUCUUCCGCAAUGGGCGAAAGCCUGACGGAGCAACGCCGCGUGAGUGAUGAAGGUCUUCGGAUCGUAAAACUCUGUUAUUAGGGAAGAACAUAUGUGUAAGUAACUGUGCACAUCUUGACGGUACCUAAUCAGAAAGCCACGGCUAACUACGUG